AUGGCCGACGCGGGUCAAAGUGUAGUAUCUGUUCUUAUCAGCCUAAUAUCUGAUAUGGGUUAUAUUUGGACCUAAUAUAUUCAACUUAUUUUUGCAAGUUGGCGGAGUGCUUGAAGUCUGUUUCACCUCUGCCGCGAGUCGGCACGGUAUUGUACUAUCUUCGGGAUUUUUGGUCUAUAUAC
Small nuclear RNA from Dermacentor silvarum, 182 nucleotides. RefSeq annotates it as U2 spliceosomal RNA. NCBI's taxonomy places the organism in Eukaryota, Metazoa, Arthropoda, Arachnida, Ixodida, Ixodidae. The transcript has a single exon. The record is from RefSeq and is a predicted model, not a curated record.